RNAcentral lists this ribosomal RNA (497 nucleotides) under uncultured bacterium. RNAcentral's name for it is "partial 16S ribosomal RNA". It matches the Rfam family "Bacterial small subunit ribosomal RNA", at positions 28 to 507 of the family's 1533-position model. The record is from RNAcentral.
GAUGAACGCUGGCGGCGUGCCUAAUACAUGCAAGUCGAGCGAACAGACGAGGAGCUUGCUCCUUUGACGUUAGCGGCGGACGGGUGAGUAACACGUAGGUAACCUACCUAUAAGACUGGGAUAACUUCGGGAAACCGGAGCUAAUACCGGAUAAUAUUUCGAACCGCAUGGUUCGAUAGUGAAAGAUGGCUUUGCUAUCACUUAUAGAUGGACCUGCGCCGUAUUAGCUAGUUGGUAAGGUAACGGCUUACCAAGGCAACGAUACGUAGCCGACCUGAGAGGGUGAUAGGCCACACUGGAACUGAGACACGGUCCAGACUCCUACGGGGGGCAGCAGUAGGGAAUCUUCCGCAAUGGGCGAAAGCCUGACGGAGCAACGCCGCGUGAGUGAUGAAGGUCUUCGGAUCGUAAAACUCUGUUAUUAGGGAAGAACAAACGUGUAAGUAACUGUGCACGUCUUGACGGUACCUAAUCAGAAAGCCACGGCUAACUACGUG